GCAUAUUGUCAAGAGCUCUCAAAGCUGCAGGAUCAAAUACCACCAUUUCCUACUCGUAAUGCAAUCAGGACCAUCGAGUCUGAACUGGGCUCUCGAAUGUCUGAUCUAUUUGCUGAUAUCAGUCCAGAGCCAAUUGCAGCAGCAUCACUGGGGCAAUUAUACAAAGUCAUGCAGCUCAUGUACACUCCGGAGAGCUUGUCGCAAUCAAAGUUCAGAGGCCUCGAAUGGCACCCUUGCUGACCCUCGAUGCACUUCUAUUCAAUAUGAUUGGAGGACAGCUAAAACGAUUUGCUAAGGCCCG
Molecule: long non-coding RNA, 301 nt
Organism: Hordeum vulgare subsp. vulgare (domesticated barley)
Lineage: Eukaryota; Viridiplantae; Streptophyta; Magnoliopsida; Poales; Poaceae
Exons: 3
Source: RefSeq, a predicted model, not a curated record